This 447-nucleotide ribosomal RNA is filed under the name uncultured bacterium. RNAcentral's name for it is "bacterial SSU rRNA". It matches the Rfam family "Bacterial small subunit ribosomal RNA", at positions 330 to 793 of the family's 1533-position model. The record is from RNAcentral.
UCCAGACUCCUACGGGAGGCAGCAGUGGGGGAUAUUGCACAAUGGGGGAACCCUGAUGCAGCGACGCCGCGUGGGUGAAGAGGCGCCUCGGCGCGUAAAGCCCUGUCAGCAGGGAAGAAAAUGACGGUACCUGAAGAAGAAGCCCCGGCUGACUACGUGCCAGCAGCCGCGGUAAUACGUAGGGGGCAAGCGUUAUCCGGAUUUACUGGGUGUAAAGGGGGCGCAGACGGCGAUGCAAGCCAGGAGUGAAAGCCCGGGGCCCAACCCCGGGACUGCUCUUGGAACUGCGUGGCUGGAGUGCAGGAGGGGCAGGCGGAAUUCCUGGUGUAGCGGUGAAAUGCGUAGAUAUACGGAGGAACACCAGUGGCGAAGGCGGAUUGCUGGACAGUAACUGACGCUGAGGCGCGAAAGCGUGGGGAGCAAACAGGAUUAGAUACCCCAGUAUAG